Molecule: ribosomal RNA, 435 nt
Filed under: uncultured bacterium
Lineage: Bacteria
Description: partial 16S ribosomal RNA
Rfam family: Bacterial small subunit ribosomal RNA
Source: RNAcentral
AACGAACGCUGGCGGCAGGCUUAACACAUGCAAGUCGAACGCAUGCCUUCGGGCAUGAGUGGCAGACGGGUGAGUAACGCGUGGUAACCUACCCCUUGGUACGGGAUAGCUCCGGGAAACUGGAGAUAAUACCGUAUGUGUCCUGAGGGACAAAGAUUCAUCGCCAAGGGAUGGGCCCGCGUCGGAUUAGCUAGUUGGUGGGGUAACGGCCUACCAAGGCGACGAUCCGUAGCUGGUCUAAGAGGAUGAUCAGCCACAUUGGGACUGAGACACGGCCCAAACUCCUACGGGAGGCAGCAGUGGGGAAUAUUGGACAAUGGGCGCAAGCCUGAUCCAGCCAUGCCGCGUGAGUGAUGAAGGCCCUAGGGUUGUAAAGCUCUUUCACCGGUGACGAUAAUGACGGUAACCGGAGAAGAAGCCCCGGCUAACUUCGUG